GGGUUGUGAGGUUAAGCGACUAAGCGUACACGGUGGAUGCCCUGGCAGUCAGAGGCGAUGAAGGACGUGCUAAUCUGCGAUAAGCGUCGGUAAGGUGAUAUGAACCGUUAUAGCCGGCGAUUUCCGAAUGGGGAAACCCAGUGUGAUUCGUCACACUAUCGUUAACUGAAUACAUAGGUUAACGAAGCGAACCGGGGGAACUGAAACAUCUAAGUACCCCGAGGAAAAGAAAUCAACCGAGAUUCCCCCAGUAGCGGCGAGCGAACGGGGAGCAGCCCAGAGUCUGAAUCAGCUUGUGUGUUAGUGGAACGGUCUGGAAAGUCCGACGGUACAGGGUGAUAGUCCCGUACACCAAAAUGCACAGGUUGUGAACUCGAAGAGUAGGGCGGGACACGUGGUAUCCUGUCUGAAUAUGGGGGGACCAUCCUCCAAGGCUAAAUACUCCUGACUGACCGAUAGUGAACCAGUACCGUGAGGGAAAGGCGAAAAGAACCCCGGCGAGGGGAGUGAAAAAGAACCUGAAACCGUGUACGUACAAGCAGUGGGAGCCUCUUUAUGGGGUGACUGCGUACCUUUUGUAUAAUGGGUCAGCGACUUAUAUUCUGUAGCAAGGUUAACCGUAUAGGGGAGCCGAAGGGAAACCGAGUCUUAACUGGGCGUUAAGUUGCAGGGUAUAGACCCGAAACCCGGUGAUCUAGCCAUGGGCAGGUUGAAGGUUGGGUAACACUAACUGGAGGACCGAACCGACUAAUGUUGAAAAAUUAGCGGAUGACUUGUGGCUGGGGGUGAAAGGCCAAUCAAACCGGGAGAUAGCUGGUUCUCCCCGAAAGCUAUUUAGGUAGCGCCUCGUGAACUCAUCUUCGGGGGUAGAGCACUGUUUCGGCUAGGGGGUCAUCCCGACUUACCAACCCGAUGCAAACUGCGAAUACCGAAGAAUGUUAUCACGGGAGACACACGGCGGGUGCUAACGUCCGUCGUGAAGAGGGAAACAACCCAGACCGCCAGCUAAGGUCCCAAAGUCAUGGUUAAGUGGGAAACGAUGUGGGAAGGCACAGACAGCCAGGAUGUUGGCUUAGAAGCAGCCAUCAUUUAAAGAAAGCGUAAUAGCUCACUGGUCGAGUCGGCCUGCGCGGAAGAUGUAACGGGGCUAAACCAUGCACCGAAGCUGCGGCAGCGACACUAUGUGUUGUUGGGUAGGGGAGCGUUCUGUAAGCCGUUGAAGGUGUAUCGUGAGGUAUGCUGGAGGUAUCAGAAGUGCGAAUGCUGACAUAAGUAACGAUAAUGCGGGUGAAAAACCCGCACGCCGGAAGACCAAGGGUUCCUGUCCAACGUUAAUCGGGGCAGGGUGAGUCGACCCCUAAGGCGAGGCCGAAAGGCGUAGUCGAUGGGAAACAGGUUAAUAUUCCUGUACUUGGUGUUACUGCGAAGGGGGGACGGAGAAGGCUAUGUUAGCCGGGCGACGGUUGUCCCGGUUUAAGCAUGUAGGCGGAGGUUCCAGGUAAAUCCGGUACCUUUUAACGCUGAGGUGUGAUGACGAGGCACUACGGUGCUGAAGUAACAAAUGCCCUGCUUCCAGGAAAAGCCUCUAAGCAUCAGGUAACACGAAAUCGUACCCCAAACCGACACAGGUGGUCAGGUAGAGAAUACCAAGGCGCUUGAGAGAACUCGGGUGAAGGAACUAGGCAAAAUGGUGCCGUAACUUCGGGAGAAGGCACGCUGAUAUGUAGGUGAAGCGGUUUACCCGUGGAGCUGAAAUCAGUCGAAGAUACCAGCUGGCUGCAACUGUUUAUUAAAAACACAGCACUGUGCAAACACGAAAGUGGACGUAUACGGUGUGACGCCUGCCCGGUGCCGGAAGGUUAAUUGAUGGGGUUAUCCGUAAGGAGAAGCUCUUGAUCGAAGCCCCGGUAAACGGCGGCCGUAACUAUAACGGUCCUAAGGUAGCGAAAUUCCUUGUCGGGUAAGUUCCGACCUGCACGAAUGGCGUAAUGAUGGCCAGGCUGUCUCCACCCGAGACUCAGUGAAAUUGAACUCGCUGUGAAGAUGCAGUGUACCCGCGGCAAGACGGAAAGACCCCGUGAACCUUUACUAUAGCUUGACACUGAACACUGGUCCUUGAUGUGUAGGAUAGGUGGGAGGCUUUGAAGUGUGGACGCCAGUCUGCAUGGAGCCAUCCUUGAAAUACCACCCUUUAAUGGCUGGUGUUCUAACGUGGACCCGUGAUCCGGGUUGCGGACAGUGUCUGGUGGGUAGUUUGACUGGGGCGGUCUCCUCCUAAAGAGUAACGGAGGAGCACGAAGGUUAGCUAAUCCUGGUCGGACAUCAGGAGGUUAGUGCAAAGGCAUAAGCUAGCUUGACUGCGAGAGUGACGGCUCGAGCAGGUGCGAAAGCAGGUCUUAGUGAUCCGGUGGUUCUGAAUGGAAGGGCCAUCGCUCAACGGAUAAAAGGUACUCCGGGGAUAACAGGCUGAUACCGCCCAAGAGUUCAUAUCGACGGCGGUGUUUGGCACCUCGAUGUCGGCUCAUCACAUCCUGGGGCUGAAGUAGGUCCCAAGGGUAUGGCUGUUCGCCAUUUAAAGUGGUACGCGAGCUGGGUUUAGAACGUCGUGAGACAGUUCGGUCCCUAUCUGCCGUGGGCGCUGGAGAAUUGAGGGGGGCUGCUCCUAGUACGAGAGGACCGGAGUGGACGCAUCACUGGUGUUCGGGUUGUCAUGCCAAUGGCAUUGCCCGGUAGCUAAAUGCGGAAGAGAUAAGUGCUGAAAGCAUCUAAGCACGAAACUUGCCCCGAGAUGAGUUCUCCCUGAGACUUUAAGUCUCCUGAAGGAACGUUGAAGACGACGACGUUGAUAGGUCGGGUGUGUAAGUGUAGUGAUACAUUGAGCUAACCGAUACUAAUGAACCGUGAGGCUUAACCUUACAACGCCGAAG
This 2927-nucleotide ribosomal RNA is filed under the name Citrobacter freundii. RNAcentral's name for it is "23S ribosomal RNA". It matches the Rfam family "Bacterial large subunit ribosomal RNA". The record is from RNAcentral. Lineage: Bacteria; Pseudomonadati; Pseudomonadota; Gammaproteobacteria; Enterobacterales; Enterobacteriaceae.